Mytilus californianus (California mussel) is the source of this 426-nucleotide long non-coding RNA. RefSeq lists it as uncharacterized. The record is from RefSeq and is a predicted model, not a curated record. Lineage: Eukaryota; Metazoa; Mollusca; Bivalvia; Mytilida; Mytilidae. The transcript is spliced from 3 exons.
UUUGAUACAGACUUUGGACCAGCAGGUUUCUCCUUAACAGCAUGGUACACACUACAGGGACUCACUUACCUUCAAACUCUGACCCAGCUUCAGUCUUCUAAACUUUUACAAGAAUUAGGCAUUGGUGACCUCAUGUCAGAUGACCAAUGUCAAAGGUCAAGUUCGACAUAUAGUCCAUCAGCUGAUGGAUGGAAGAAAGAUUGUGUAUUGGAUGUUACAACAGUCACCUUGCCGUUGUCCACAACCUCGUCCACAACCUGUGUUGUCAAGGAUACCUGUUCUGCUGUGGAUUGUUGUACAGAGGUUGAUUUCCUCAACAGACCUUUCAACACAUUUCUAUAUAUAGAUCCAUGUGACCUGACAUUUAUCAUCGGAAUAGAGAAACUUGUUUUAAAUGCAAGUUUGACAUCUGACCCAAAUUUUGAA